CCAUAAAAGCGGUGAUCGAAGUGCCGAUGGGUAGCAGAGGCCUCAGAAUCACAGCCAAGGGACCAGACAUGAUUGGAGAGAAGAGGUGGUGUUCAGCACUCCAGGUCCUCACACUCUGGGUAACAAUACGCUGGAGUACCAGAGAGGAGCAGAAAGACAGACACUCCACUGCUAUGGCCCGCUGCGUGCAGACUUCACAAUAAAGGUGAAGUACGGUGGCCCUAAAGACACAGUGAUGCAGUUCAUGUUUUACCAGCCUAUUCGCUACCAGUGGAGGGAAACUGACUUUUUCCCCUGCUCUGUCACCUGUGGAGGCGGUUAUCAGCUCAAUUCGGCUGACUGUAUGGACAUUCGUUACAACAAAUCGGUUGCGGAGCACCUGUGUCACAGCUUCCCAGAGAACACCAAACCCACCCCCAAACUCAAGGAGUGUAACAUGGAUCCCUGCCUUGAAAGGCUGGUUCUGUCUUAUCGAUCUCUGCUGCACACCCUUCAUGACAAAACACAAAGAAUAAAUCUCAAUAAACCAGAAAGUGUCUGUGCAUGAGAUGUCCUGUGUGGAUAAUGGCUUGAAAGGCUAAUG
Molecule: long non-coding RNA, 583 nt
Organism: Carassius carassius (crucian carp)
Lineage: Eukaryota; Metazoa; Chordata; Actinopteri; Cypriniformes; Cyprinidae
Exons: 4
Source: RefSeq, a predicted model, not a curated record